GGCUCGGUAGCUUAGUUGGUAAAGCGCUCGUCUAGCAUACAAGAGUCCUGGGUUCAAAUCCCAGCCGAACAC
Aedes aegypti (yellow fever mosquito) is the source of this 72-nucleotide non-coding RNA. Lineage: Eukaryota; Metazoa; Arthropoda; Insecta; Diptera; Culicidae. The record is from Rfam.